CGCCUCUUGCUAACAAAGGAAGUACUAGAGGUCCCGCCUGCCCUGUGACCACAAAGUUUAACGGCCGCGGUAUCCUGACCGUGCGAAGGUAGCGUAAUCAUUUGUCUUUUAAAUAGAGACCUGUAUGAAUGGCAUAACGAGGGUUUAACUGUCUCCUUCCCCUAGUCAAUGAAAUUGAUCUGCCCGUGCAGAAGCGGACAUAAACACAUAAGACGAGAAGACCCUAUGGAGCUUUAGACAAAAGAUCAAACAUGUAAAGAAACCAAACCAACCAAAAGGAACACGAAGGCCACAAAACCCAACGUAAACUGAUCUAAAUGUCUUCGGUUGGGGCGACCAUGGGGGAAAGAAAAGCCCCCACGAGGAACAGGGACAACCCCUAAACUAAGAGAGACACCUCUAAGCAACAGAAAAUCUGACCAAAAUGWCCCAGGAUA
Molecule: ribosomal RNA, 437 nt
Filed under: Anguilla anguilla (European eel)
Lineage: Eukaryota; Metazoa; Chordata; Actinopteri; Anguilliformes; Anguillidae
Description: partial large subunit ribosomal RNA
Rfam family: Bacterial large subunit ribosomal RNA
Source: RNAcentral